AAGUUGACCUUCGCCAACUCUUGCAUUUGUUUUCUCCUAGUUUUCACAGGGCCACCAUGAUUCAUUUGAGACAUUGUGGGACCAAGGGUUGGCGGUCGAAAUAGAUGAUCGUGCGAGCCGCAAAUUUUGGCAUAAAUACUUCUUCGUUAAAAUCGAGCAUCUUGUGUCGGACUCCGUUGGAUUCCCUUACGGUGGAAUAACAAUCGUAUGUAUUGGUACUUGU
This 223-nucleotide long non-coding RNA is filed under the name Nicotiana benthamiana. RNAcentral describes it as "long non-coding RNA (NBEN_LNC017283)". The record is from RNAcentral. Lineage: Eukaryota; Viridiplantae; Streptophyta; Magnoliopsida; Solanales; Solanaceae.